CGCGCUACACUGACAGGGCCAGCGAGUUUUUUUCCUUGACCGAAAGGUCUGGGUAAUCUUGUGAAACCCUGUCGUGCUGGGGAUAGAGCAUUGCAAUUAUUGCUCUUCAACGAGGAAUUCCUAGUAAGCGUGAGUCAUCAGCUCGCGUUGAUUACGUCCCUGCCCUUUGUACACACCGCCCGUCGUUACUACCGAUUGAAUGGCUUAGUGAGAUUUUGGGAUUGGCCUCGGGGAGUCGGCAACGACACCCUGUGGGCUGAGAACUUGAUCAAACUUGGUCAUUUAGAGGAAGUACAAGUCGUAACAAGGUUUCCGUAGGUGAACCUGCGGAAGGAUCAUU
RNAcentral lists this ribosomal RNA (340 nucleotides) under Picipes dictyopus. RNAcentral describes it as "bacterial SSU rRNA". It matches the Rfam family "Eukaryotic small subunit ribosomal RNA", at positions 1494 to 1830 of the family's 1831-position model. The record is from RNAcentral. Lineage: Eukaryota; Fungi; Basidiomycota; Agaricomycetes; Polyporales; Polyporaceae.